UACGUAGGGCGCGAGCGUUGUCCGGAAUUAUUGGGCGUAAAGAGCUCGUAGGCGGUUUGUCGCGUCUGCCGUGAAAGUCCGGGGCUCAACUCCGGAUCUGCGGUGGGUACGGGCAGACUAGAGUGAUGUAGGGGAGACUGGAAUUCCUGGUGUAGCGGUGAAAUGCGCAGAUAUCAGGAGGAACACCGAUGGCGAAGGCAGGUCUCUGGGCAUUAAUUGACGCUGAGGAGCGAAAGCAUGGGGAGCGAACAGG
Molecule: ribosomal RNA, 253 nt
Filed under: uncultured bacterium
Lineage: Bacteria
Description: partial 16S ribosomal RNA
Rfam family: Bacterial small subunit ribosomal RNA
Source: RNAcentral